Molecule: long non-coding RNA, 3387 nt
Organism: Sipha flava (yellow sugarcane aphid)
Lineage: Eukaryota; Metazoa; Arthropoda; Insecta; Hemiptera; Aphididae
Exons: 4
Source: RefSeq, a predicted model, not a curated record
UUUCUUUUUUAAAUCUUAAAGCAUACUUGAUUAUUUAAAUAUUGUGAUUUUUACUUUAUUACAGUAAAUAGUCGAAAUUCAGGAGCCGAAUCCAGAGUGAAACGAACUUACAAGAGACUAAUACAUACCUAUUUACUUCCACAAAUACAGUAAACAGUCGAAAUCAAGGAGCCGAUCCAGAGUGAAACGAACUUACAGAGGCUUAAACAUACCUAUUUACUUCCAUAAAUACAGUAAAUAGUCGAAAUUCAGGAGCCGAAUCCAGAGUGAAACGAACUUACAAGAGACUAAUACAUACCUAUUUACUUCCACAAAUACAGUUUCGUCUACUACCAUGCUUCUAGAACAUUUGGGACAUGCUGGUACAAUAUGUUUUCGGCAGAUGGGUGAAUUACAAUGAAUACAAUGAAUAAAAUUUUAGAUAAUAUUAGUCAAAUGUCAGUAUAAUCUUGGAAGAAAACAAUGUUGAAAUCAAAUGAACGAAAAUAGUGACAUUGGUCAUUUUGAUCGUAAUUUUAUCAAUGAAUGGUAUAAGUUCAUGUUAACGAUAUAAAUUUACAUUAAAACACAAAACAAGUACUGUUCAUGGAUCGAAGAAAAGGUACUGAGUAGAAAAAGACGGAUAUGGUUCCAACUAUAAAUUAUUUAAGAAAUUAAAAAACUGUCGGUCAAAAAAAUCGAAGCCACUGAUGCCGGGUUAAGAGAAAAAAAAAAUCUUAAACUGGAAAAGAAUUUUAAAAAAAAAUAGAAACAAAAAUAUAUUGGAAAAAUUUUCCCGAAGUCAAAGUUUUUUGGAGGUCAAAAAAUGUGCAGUUUUCUCCAAAUAUGUGGAAUAAUCACCAAUGCCAUUGGAAUGUGACCACCAAUUUUUAUAUCCGGUGUCCAAUUCUACUUUUGUAGUGAUAGCAGGUCCAAGUGGCCUGUUAUCCUGCAACAUAAUUAUAAGAAAACUAUGUCAGAAUGAGAAAAUAAUUUUUGAACUUAAUUCAAUAUAACGUUGUUAAAAAUAAUUGUAAUAUAACCAAUGUCAUUCCCCCCUCUACAUCUCGGGGCAAUCCUGAUGACCGGUCUGCAACUCGGCCUUUGCGGUUCUGCCUUUGUCUUUUUCGUUUACUCACGCAAUCUUUUCGCAUUGGUCGCCAAGCGGAAUUACACGGGGCAAAAUUGUUCAUCCGUGACGCACGUCUGCGUUACACACGCAACGAUCGUUUUGGUUGCUGUUAUUCGGGUCCGCCCAACGGAGGCGAUGUCACUACUGCAUGUGUACGAACCCGGUCUAAAAUGUUGAAACAAUCGCCUACAUGGAAGUCGAUUUUUUCAUCGACUCCGUAUAUUUGGGAAUUUCGCCGUGCUAAUUAAAUUUUAGCCAGCUCAAUAUAAACAGCGAUAACUGAAAAAAAAAUACAAAAUUAUAGCUCGAACGUCAAAUUAUACACAAUAUAAAUGUUAUAUUAAAUGUUUAAAAUUGUUAAAAAAAAAAAAAAAAACGUAAGCCUUACCACGGCGACAUGUCAGAGCUAGUUGUAUGGCAUCGCCAACAGCACCACAAAAAGGAUCGACGACUGUGUUGAACGCGCAUCUUGACGCUAUGUGUACCGCGAGUAUUUCGUGGCACACGGAAAAGAAUUUUGCUGAAUAAUGAAAAUUAUGUGUUAGCAAAUAUAAUUAAUUAUAAAAUGACCUGAAAAAAAAAAAUUAAAUUUCUCGAAUUGUACAUACCAUUGACCAACACAACGCCUUCGUCGAACCUCGAGAACAAAGAGUAUCGCCUCUUCCAAUACUUUAACGUUGCGGUCAAAGUAUUGGUCUGAAAGUGUAACGCAUAAAGAAGAAAUGAUUAAAUGUUUGUGUUUUAAUUUAAAAUAUAGUUAAUCAUAAUUGUUAUUGACUUUCGGUUUCUCCAUUGUCCUUGGGUCUGUGGGGUUGGUGACGGGCUCUUUCGUGGCCUCCGGAGGCGGUACGCCAACUUGGUUGACUGAACAGUAAUUCUUCUUCGCGGGUACGACCCACGCGGGCGUAAAUAUUUCCGUUUCCGUUGAACAGUCGAUGGUUUAAUUCCAAUGUCAGUGGUUUGAACUUCAACGUCGGAACACUUCGGUGUCGUCUGCGAUCCGAAAUCGCGUCGACCGAAGUUCCACUCAGUUUGUGUGAACGCGUCACACCUGACCACCGACUUCUUCGGCAUGGCAAAACGCCGCGGGAGGACCAGAACACCAGUGGCAGCAAACCCACUCGCCACCGCUCGCUGCUGUCGGCUUCCGUAUGUCCUUGUACCGGGAGUUUUUCGUGGCUGCUGUAUACGAAAAAUGUAUUACAACACGGGACGUUCAAUUGGAAAAUUGUCAGUUUUAUUUGAAUCGAACAACAGAGAUGUUUUUUGUAUAAGAUUUUGCUAUAAACGACCUGCUUUUUUUUGUGGUCAAUCGGUCUCGUCAACUUUUUUCGGCCAUGGUGAUUUAUCUAGUAACGCCCGACGUUUUUCGACAACAUCCAACGAGUUUCCACGACCGGUUUGCAUAUUCCUAACAGUGACGUAGGAAGGCCUCGUAAUUUUGAAAAUUUGCAUUUCUCGCUCUAUGACUGGUAAAUUCAUCGAUCAUUUCUUCAUAUGAAUAUUUUAUUUAAAGGUCUUUCUACCAUUUUCAUAAUUUCAUCAUUGAGUUCACACGUAAUGUGUAAAUAUAGACAACAUCUACAUAUUUCAAAAAAUAUAAUGGAAAAUUUUCAAUUUGACUGUAGGAUAAAAUUGCAAUUUGCACCCCUGGCGUAGGCACAAUUCGUCAUACCCUUGUUACGACACUGUUUCGUAUCUAGACGGUACACGAUUCCUUGUUUAAACGCGGUCAACUAAUGACUACCAAUACUAUAGUUAUUUUUCUUUUUACUUUCUAUAUAUAAUAUAAAUGUUUUUAUGUUUUGACCGAAUGUUAAUAAUCGCUGUUCGCGUGUUAGGGUAUUAAAAGUAUUCAUCAUUAUUCACGGUUUUCGUUUUGGUCUCGCCUGCAGUUUAUACGAAAUAGAAAAUAUCGUACAAUAGAACUAGAUCAAACCGGCGUAACGUGACAAGUGUGUGACAACGCAGCAAUGUUUAAGUGUUAGAUUGUAUUCAAUAAAUAAUAUAGAAUACUGGUGACGAUUUUAUUUUAUUUUUAUUAACGUUUUAAAUAAAUCAACAUAAACGAAUUAAUAGUAAAACAACGAUGGUCAUGACAGGUAAAGUUUCUACACUGGACGACUGAAUAUGUCUAUAUUUAUCCGUAUUCCUUAUACGCUUCUGAGUCGCUUCCAUAUUCUUCGUUUUCUAGUUUUCCGUCAACUAGUUGGUUUUGUAACUUAUGUGUGUACGGCUCAAGAAUUUGCGGAUUCCGUUUACAUGAUUUUUUUUUG